RNAcentral lists this unclassified non-coding RNA (263 nucleotides) under plant metagenome. Its description in RNAcentral is "partial contains small subunit ribosomal RNA, internal transcribed spacer 1, and 5.8S ribosomal RNA". The record is from RNAcentral.
UUUCCGUAGGUGAACCUGCGGAAGGAUCAUUAUUGUAUAACCGAGGUGCGAGGGCUGUCGCUGACCCGAAAGGUCGUGCACGCCCGAGUGCCCUCACACACAUCCAUCUCACCCCUAUGUGCACCACCGCGUGGGUCCCCCUUUGGCUUGUUCGGAGGGGGGCUUACGUUUUCACACAAGCUCUGUAUGCAGUGUAGAAUGUAUUUUUUGUUUUUGCGAUCACGCAAUCAAUACAACUUUCAACAACGGAUCUCUUGGCUCUC